GAGGGUAUAUCUCAGUGGUAGAGUGCAUGCCUAGUAUGCACGAGGUCCUGGGUUCAAUCCCCAGUACCUCCA
RNAcentral lists this transfer RNA (72 nucleotides) under Camelus bactrianus (Bactrian camel). It matches the Rfam family "tRNA". Rfam says of the family: Transfer RNA (tRNA) molecules are approximately 80 nucleotides in length. Their secondary structure includes four short double-helical elements and three loops (D, anti-codon, and T loops). Further hydrogen bonds mediate the characteristic L-shaped molecular structure. tRNAs have two regions of fundamental functional importance: the anti-codon, which is responsible for specific mRNA codon recognition, and the 3' end, to which the tRNAs corresponding amino acid is attached (by aminoacyl-tRNA synthetases). tRNAs cope with the degeneracy of the genetic code in two manners: having more than one tRNA (with a specific anti-codon) for a particular amino acid; and 'wobble' base-pairing, i.e. permitting non-standard base-pairing at the 3rd anti-codon position. RNAcentral also lists the same sequence under 2 other names. Lineage: Eukaryota; Metazoa; Chordata; Mammalia; Artiodactyla; Camelidae. The record is from Rfam by way of RNAcentral.